GAUGAAGAACGCAGCGAAAUGCGAUACGUAGUGUGAAUUGCAGAAUUCAGUGAAUCAUCGAAUCUUUGAACGCACAUUGCGCCCUUUGGUAUUCCAAAGGGCAUGUCUGUUCGAGCGUCAUUUGUACCCUCAAGCUUUGCUUGGUGUUGGGCGUCUUGUCUCCAGUCCGCUGGAGACUCGCCUUAAAGUCAUUGGCAGCCGGCCUACUGGUUUCGGAGCGCAGCACAAGUCGCACUCUUUUCCAGCCAAGGUCAGUGUCCAACAAGCCUUUUUUCAACUUUUGACCUCGGAUCAGGUAGGGAUACCCGCUGAACUUAAGCAUAUCAAUAAGCGGAGGA
This 338-nucleotide unclassified non-coding RNA is filed under the name soil metagenome. RNAcentral's name for it is "partial contains 5.8S ribosomal RNA, internal transcribed spacer 2, and large subunit ribosomal RNA". The stretch from base 1 to 120 matches the Rfam family "5.8S ribosomal RNA", at positions 35 to 154 of the family's 154-position model. The record is from RNAcentral.